This is a long non-coding RNA of Arabidopsis lyrata subsp. lyrata, 710 nucleotides long. RefSeq lists it as uncharacterized. NCBI's taxonomy places the organism in Eukaryota, Viridiplantae, Streptophyta, Magnoliopsida, Brassicales, Brassicaceae. The transcript is spliced from 3 exons. The record is from RefSeq and is a predicted model, not a curated record.
AAUAUGCCUUACAGCCAACUCCAAACACUUUGGAAAGGAACCAAAAACCUCAAGAUGCUGAAGAGGAUCAACCUGCGCCAUUCACAGAAUCUGCUUGAAGUUGAUGAACUUUCAGAAGCUCGAAACCUUGAGAAACUUGAUCUUUGCGGCUGUAAGAACUUGAAAAGAUUCCCUGACAUUCAUCAGUUGCAUCAACUUAGAGUCGUUGAUCUCUCUGGUUGCACACAAGUCCAAAGUUUCCCAGAAUUUCCAUCUAAUGUCGAAUUGAAAUUCGAGGUAUCAUCCAUUAAGACCAUCUUUCCUCCGGUCACACUAUUUGUUAAGAGUUUACACGAAUUCUUAGACAAUCAGCGAAAACCCGUUUUACAAACACCUGAGCCCCAUAUCUUAGACUUCCUGAAACUCAGAAGCUUCCAAAGUAGCCAAGGAAGGAUAACAAAUCCAGACUUGGUAGAAUCACCGCCUACAUUUAAAAGAAAGAUAUGUCAAAAAGCACUCGAGAUGAGCCAAAGUCUUCAGCGGGGGUUGACUAAUCUAAAUUUAGAAUAUGAUGUGUUCAAGAUCCGUCCUUUGGAGAAUUUGAUGUUCACAAAGCUCAAGGAGGAGACGUCCUAAUUCCUGUCACCUGCAAUCAGUAAACAUCUCAAGUCUUUUGACUGUUUCUUGUCAAACACUCAUAUGAAAUCCAAAAGUGUUCUUGCUUGUGCGUC